This 465-nucleotide ribosomal RNA is filed under the name uncultured bacterium. RNAcentral describes it as "partial 16S ribosomal RNA". It matches the Rfam family "Bacterial small subunit ribosomal RNA", at positions 28 to 507 of the family's 1533-position model. The record is from RNAcentral.
GACGAACGCUGGCGGCGUGCUUAACACAUGCAAGUCGUACGGUAAGGCCCUUUCGGGGGUACACGAGUGGCGAACGGGUGAGUAACACGUGCGUAACCUGCCCACAACUUUGGGAUAACGCUAGGAAACUGGUGCUAAUACUGGAUAUGUGCUCCUGCUGCAUGGUGGGGGUUGGAAAGCUCCGGCGGUUGUGGAUGGACUCGCGGCCUAUCAGCUUGUUGGUGGGGUAGUGGCCUACCAAGGCGGCGACGGGUAGCCGGCCUGAGGGGGUGACCGGCCACAUUGGGACUGAGAGACGGACCAGACGCCGACGGGAGGCAGUAGUGGGGAAUAUUGCACAAUGGGCGCAAGCCUGAUGCAGCAACGCCGCGUGCGGGAUGACGGCCUUCAGGUUGAGAACCGCUUUCAGCAGGGACGAAGCUUUUUGUGACGGUACCUGCAGAAGAAGCACCGGCUAACUACGUG